Molecule: ribosomal RNA, 801 nt
Filed under: uncultured bacterium
Lineage: Bacteria
Description: partial 16S ribosomal RNA
Rfam family: Bacterial small subunit ribosomal RNA
Source: RNAcentral
AAUAACGAUGACGAAAGCAARCCCCCUUGGGWAACACUGRCGYUCAUGCWMGAAAGCGUUGRAAGCAAACAGGAUUAGAUACCCCUGGUAGUCCACGCCMUAAAAGAUGUCAACUAGUUGUCGGGAGGGUAACCCUCUUGGUAACGCAGCUAACGCGURAAGUUGACCGCCYUGGGAGUACGGUCGCAAGAUUAAAACUCAAAGGAAUUGACGGRGGCCCGCRCAAGCGGUGGAUUAUGUGGAUUAAUUMGAUGCAACGCGAAAAACCUUACCUACCCUUGACAUGUACGGAACUUUCCAGAGAUGGAUUGGUGCUCGAAAGAGAACCGUAACACAGGUGCUGCAUGGCUGUCGUCAGCUCGUGUCGUGAGAUGUUGGGUUAAGUCCCGCAACGAGCGCAACCCUUGUCAUUAWUYRCCAUCAUUUAGUUGGGCACUUUAAUGAGACUGCCGGUGAUAAACCGGAGGAAGGUGGGGAUGACGUCAAGUCCUCAUGGCCCUUAUGGGUAGGGCUUCACACGUAAUACAAUGGUCGGUACAGAGGGUCGCCAACCCGCGAGGGGGAGCCAAUCUCAGAAAGCCGAUYGUAGUCCGGAUUGUUYUCUGCAACUSGAGAGCAUGAAGUCGGAAUCGSUAGUAAUCGCGGAUCAGCAUGUCGCGGUGAAUACGUUCCCGGGUCUUGUACACACCGCCCGUCACACCAUGGGAGCGGGUUCUGCCAGAAGUAGGUAGUCUAACCGCAAGGGGGGCGCUUAACGMCCAGGGAUUCAYCAMKGGGGUGAAGUCGUAACAAGGUAACCGU